RNAcentral lists this ribosomal RNA (498 nucleotides) under uncultured bacterium. RNAcentral's name for it is "bacterial SSU rRNA". It matches the Rfam family "Bacterial small subunit ribosomal RNA", at positions 899 to 1397 of the family's 1533-position model. The record is from RNAcentral.
ACUCAAAUGAAUAGACGGGGGCCCGCACAAGCGGAGGAACAUGUGGUUUAAUUCGAUGAUACGCGAGGAACCUUACCCGGGCUCGAACGGCAGACGACUUAUACAGAGACGUAUAUUCCCUUCGGGGCGUCUGUCGAGGUGCUGCAUGGUUGUCGUCAGCUCGUGUCGUGAGAUGUUGGCUUAAGUGCCAUAACGAGCGCAACCCUUGUCGUUAGUUGCCAUCAAGUGAUGUUGGGGACUCUAGCGAGACUGCCACCGCAAGGUGUGAGGAGGGAGGGGAUGACGUCAAAUCAGCACGGCCCUUACGUCCGGGGCGACACACGUGUUACAAUGGCGGUUACAAAGGGCAGCCACCCGGCGACGGGGCGCUAAUCUCUAAAAUCCGCCUCAGUUCGGACUGGAGUCUGCAACUCGACUCCACGAAGCUGGAUUCGCUAGUAAUCGCGCAUCAGCCACGGCGCGGUGAAUACGUUCCCGGGCCUUGCACACACCGCCCGU